UACCAGCUCUCCGAGUGGUAGGGAUGAUUAUUGGGCUUAAAGCGUCCGUAGCCGGCUUAGCAAGUCUCCUGUUAAAUUCAGCGACUCAAUCGUUGGAUCGCGGGAAAUACUACUAGGCUAGGAGGCGGGAGAGGUCAACGGUACUUCUGGGGUAGGGGUGAAAUCCUAUAAUCCCGGGAGGACCACCAGUGGCGAAGGCUGUUGACUAGAACGCGCUCGACGGUGAGGGACGAAAGCUGGGGUAGCAAACCGGAUUAGAUACCCGGGUAGUCCCAGCUGUAAACGAUGCGAGCUAGGUGUUGGGAUGGCUACGGGCCAUUUCAGUGCCGCAGGGAAGCCAUUAAGCUCGCCGCCUGGGGAGUACGGCCGCAAGGCUGAAACUUAAGGAAUUGGCGGGGAGCACCGACAAGGCGUGAAGCUUGCGGUUC
RNAcentral lists this ribosomal RNA (428 nucleotides) under uncultured archaeon. Its description in RNAcentral is "bacterial SSU rRNA". It matches the Rfam family "Archaeal small subunit ribosomal RNA", at positions 474 to 903 of the family's 1478-position model. The record is from RNAcentral.